GAUGAACGCUGGCGGCGUGCCUAAUACAUGCAAGUCGAGCGAACGGACGAGAAGCUUGCUUCUCUGAUGUUAGCGGCGGACGGGUGAGUAACACGUGGAUAACCUACCUAUAAGACUGGGAUAACUUCGGGAAACCGGAGCUAAUACCGGAUAAUAUUUUGAACCGCAUGGUUCAAAAGUGAAAGACGGUCUUGCUGUCACUUAUAGAUGGAUCCGCGCUGCAUUAGCUAGUUGGUAAGGUAACGGCUUACCAAGGCAACGAUGCAUAGCCGACCUGAGAGGGUGAUCGGCCACACUGGAACUGAGACACGGUCCAGACUCCUACGGGAGGCAGCAGUAGGGAAUCUUCCGCAAUGGGCGAAAGCCUGACGGAGCAACGCCGCGUGAGUGAUGAAGGUCUUCGGAUCGUAAAACUCUGUUAUUAGGGAAGAACAUAUGUGUAAGUAACUGUGCACAUCUUGACGGUACCUAAUCAGAAAGCCACGGCUAACUACGUGCCAGCAGCCGCGGUAAUACGUAGGUGGCAAGCGUUAUCCGGAAUUAUUGGGCGUAAAGCGCGCGUAGGCGGUUUUUUAAGUCUGAUGUGAAAGCCCACGGCUCAACCGUGGAGGGUCAUUGGAAACUGGAAAACUUGAGUGCAGAAGAGGAAAGUGGAAUUCCAUGUGUAGCGGUGAAAUGCGCAGAGAUAUGGAGGAACACCAGUGGCGAAGGCGACUUUCUGGUCUGUAACUGACGCUGAUGUGCGAAAGCGUGGGGAUCAAACAGGAUUAGAUACCCUGGUAGUCCACGCCGUAAACGAUGAGUGCUAAGUGUUAGGGGGUUUCCGCCCCUUAGUGCUGCAGCUAACGCAUUAAGCACUCCGCCUGGGGAGUACGACCGCAAGGUUGAAACUCAAAGGAAUUGACGGGGACCCGCACAAGCGGUGGAGCAUGUGGUUUAAUUCGAAGCAACGCGAAGAACCUUACCAAAUCUUGACAUCCUUUGACAACUCUAGAGAUAGAGCCUUCCCCUUCGGGGGACAAAGUGACAGGUGGUGCAUGGUUGUCGUCAGCUCGUGUCGUGAGAUGUUGGGUUAAGUCCCGCAACGAGCGCAACCCUUAAGCUUAGUUGCCAUCAUUAAGUUGGGCACUCUAAGUUGACUGCCGGUGACAAACCGGAGGAAGGUGGGGAUGACGUCAAAUCAUCAUGCCCCUUAUGAUUUGGGCUACACACGUGCUACAAUGGACAAUACAAAGGGCAGCGAAGCCGCGAGGUCAAGCAAAUCCCAUAAAGUUGUUCUCAGUUCGGAUUGUAGUCUGCAACUCGACUACAUGAAGCUGGAAUCGCUAGUAAUCGUAGAAUAGCCAUGCUACGGGGAAAAUCCUUUCCCGGGUCC
Molecule: ribosomal RNA, 1375 nt
Filed under: uncultured bacterium
Lineage: Bacteria
Description: bacterial SSU rRNA
Rfam family: Bacterial small subunit ribosomal RNA
Source: RNAcentral